This 322-nucleotide long non-coding RNA is filed under the name Bos indicus x Bos taurus (hybrid cattle). RNAcentral's name for it is "lncRNA (ENSBIXG00000027443.1)". The record is from RNAcentral. Lineage: Eukaryota; Metazoa; Chordata; Mammalia; Artiodactyla; Bovidae.
AACCACCCAAACAAGACAGCCAUUCUCACUCCCCUCAGACCACCGCUCGGAGAGGCUGCUGUCCGACGGGUGCUCCAUGCUAAAUAACCCCUAUUCUUAGUUCACCGUGACUUGGUGGCCUGAGCCAGGUGAAAAGACAAUCGAUCCAAAGAGACUACUGGUGCUCAAAGCUUCACUAACGAGGCGACUUUUUGGCAAAUCGGGCAUCUUCAACCGGGAGAACUUGGCUGAGUACAAAAGGGCUUUUGAAGCGGUGAGUGUAAAUUCAGACUCCUUUUUUUUCUUCCUUCCUUCCUUUCUUCGCCCUCUCUCUUCUCCUGUG